Long non-coding RNA from Mus musculus (house mouse), 244 nucleotides. RefSeq annotates it as predicted gene, 39834. Lineage: Eukaryota; Metazoa; Chordata; Mammalia; Rodentia; Muridae. The transcript is spliced from 3 exons. The record is from RefSeq and is a predicted model, not a curated record.
GCUUGAGAUGAGAACCAAAUAUCCUCUCCCUUGAUGGGUUAGGUGUGAACUUCCUCCUGAGAUCUGCCUCCUGUAAGGGAAAACAAUUCAGACAUAUGGCCUUUUACCAGGAAAGCUAUACAUUGCUAUAAAAGAAUUGAUCAGACACUUUGGCAUCUACAAGAUGGCUUAGAGGUGAUCUGUUCUGGAGAUCCCAAACUGCGUGGUGACCCUUCAGGCCAAAAAAGAGCAUGGGAUACCCUGG